CCAGUAGGCGUGGCCAGAAGACCAUCUGGUAGGCCCAACAGCAACCAGAGUUCAGGCCAAGGCCCCCGUGGUAGGAAGGAGUUCAAGGAACAGCAAGAAACAGCAAGAAAUCCUACCUCACCAUUGAUUGGCUGUGUGAUUUGGGGCAAGAGGCUUAACCUGUCAAACUCAGUUUCCUCAGUUAUGAGAUUCAGAUGAGACAAUGUACGUGGAAGAGUUCUGCAGUUAUUCAAUUGUAAAAACCUAAGGGUUGAACCAAGAACCUGCCACUGAACAAAGAGUGAGACAGAGCCUGAGAUGUAUAAUCUGCAGCUGAAGUGACAAGGAUAACAGCUGGUGUUUAUUGAGCGACUACUAUGUGCUGGGUACUGUUCUAAACAUUACACUUUGCUCACUUUUUUUUUACCCCUUUCUCUGUGUGUGUGUGUUCAUGUGUGUGUUACUGGGAUCUGAACCCAGGGGCACUUUACCAUUGGGUUACAUCCCCAGUCCUUUUUAUUUUUUAUUUUUUAGGUAGGGUCUUGAUAAGUUGCCCAGGCUGGCCUUGAAUUUGUCAUCCUCCUGCCUCAGUCUCCCAAAUCACUGGGAUUAGAGGCCAGGGCCACUGCACCUGGCUAUACCAUGCUCAUUUAAUCCCUACAAUAGCCCCUGAGUGGCAGAUGCUAUCUUCAUUUUACAGAUGUCUUCAGCCCUGCGGGGUCUUGUGCCCACACAGAGCACGAGCACAUGCUGAAGGACCUGAAAGACCUGCCCUAGAGGUGGUUCAGCGUUGACUGUCACAUCUGGAAGCCAGUUGUGGCCCUCAGCAGAAGGCACGGAAGGAUGUCAAAGUCUCCAGGCUGGAGCCCAAGUCAACCUCAAUGGCCGCUUCCACCAGCCCUCUGCUGCAGAUGCCUUCCUCGCUGUCACCAGAUGAUCGCGGCUCCUAUUUUAUGGAGAAGUGAAAUGAGAACUGUGCCAGCCGCUCUGUCCUCACCAGCUCUCAUCUCCGGCUUCUCUAACUGCCAUGGGCCAUCACCCCAGAGGCAGAGGCUGACUCGGGCCCAGGCUGACUCCUGCGCCCUCCUGGACAGUCCUUCCCGUUUCCUCUUGACCUGUUCCAUGGCUUAGCCCCUCUCCUGCACCGCCAACUUCCCUGUCCAAGGACCCUCUGUUCAGUGUUCAAAAACACACUAGGUCUCCCACGGGGUGGGGACCUGCCAACCUCGGACCACUUCCUCUUCACUCCUGCAGUCCACGCUCAAGUUUCUUGAAAGAGCUGUUGACACCCAGUCUGACUUCCCCCUCCACUGCUUUUUCACCUACUUGUCUGCUGCCACAGAGACUUGCCAUCGCCAAGGCCACCAACCAUCUCCUGAUCACACAUCAAACACAUUUUGGCGGCCACCUGAAGCUGCUGACCGCUCCCUCCCUCUGAACACCUCUCUUUGGAAUCUAACAGGGACCUGCUCUCCCCCGUCCUCUUCCUCUCUCCAGCUUUCUCUCUUGAUCCCCUUCAGGGCAUCUCUUCUCUUGCUGGACAGGUCAAGGGUCAAGUCGCCCCUUCCCCAGGCACCCCCACCAGCCACCCUGUCUCAUCCACAUCUGCUGAACAACUCCCCGCCUGCCUCUGGGGCCCAGAUCUGCCCCUGUGCUUCUGGCUUCUGACCCACACGCCCCAUUGCUGGCUCCCAAGGUGGACACUCUCCCAGCCCUAUUCUGGGGUUUGAGGAGUGCCCCACCGGCAAUUGUCACAGCCUAACUAUUUCUAUCACUUCUGUCACAUUCUGUUGGUAAAACACUUGCAGGACUGUCCUCGAGUCCAUGGGGAGGGGACCGUUGUUAUGGACAGUUGCAAAGAUAUGAAGCUGUCUCUGACCCACCACGGAGGACAGGCAGGUGAUGUGGUUGUCUGAUACAGAGUGACCUUCGUCGCCAUGCAGGAAUGUCAAACCUGAUUUCCCAAGAUAAAUUAAAGCUAUGGAUUUUCAUGUGAAA
Long non-coding RNA from Marmota monax (woodchuck), 1977 nucleotides. RefSeq lists it as uncharacterized. NCBI's taxonomy places the organism in Eukaryota, Metazoa, Chordata, Mammalia, Rodentia, Sciuridae. The record is from RefSeq and is a predicted model, not a curated record. The transcript has 2 exons.